UACGAAGGGUGCAAGCGUUACUCGGAAUUACUGGGCGUAAAGCGUGCGUAGGCGGUUUGUUAAGUCCGUUGUGAAAGCCCUGGGCUCAACCUGGGAAUUGCAGUGGAUACUGGCGAGCUAGAGUGCGGUAGAGGAUGGUGGAAUUCCCGGUGUAGCGGUGAAAUGCGUCGAGAUCGGGAGGAACACCCAUGGCGAAGGGCGCAAGCUCG
This 209-nucleotide ribosomal RNA is filed under the name uncultured bacterium. RNAcentral's name for it is "partial 16S ribosomal RNA". It matches the Rfam family "Bacterial small subunit ribosomal RNA", at positions 524 to 732 of the family's 1533-position model. The record is from RNAcentral.